CUCACCAUCCAUUUAUCAGCCAUACCAUCAUGUUCAAGAUCAGUGCUGGAUACCUGCCACUACAUGGUAUAGCAGUCACUGGAGGUGUUAAAACAGCUGCCACUGCAGGCUAUCGCAGUCAUUGCAGGUGUUAUCGUGCUACCAUUACAGUUUAUCGCAGUCAUUGCAGGUGUUAUCGUGCUACCAUUACAGUUUAUCGCAGUCACUGCAGGUGUUAUCGUGCUACCAUUACAGCUUAUAGCAGUCACUGCAGGUGUUAUGCCAGCUGCCAUUACAGCUUAUAGCAGUCACUGCAGGUGUUUUGCCAGCUGGCAUUACAGCUUAUAGCAGUCGCUGCAGGUGUUAUGACAGCUGCCAUUACAGCUUGUAGCAGUCACUACAGGUGUUAUGACAGCUGCCAUUAUAACUAAUAGCAGUCACUGCAGGUGUUAACAUUAUAUUCUACCAUUAUAGCUUAUAGCAGUCACUGCUGGUGUUAUGACAGCUGUCACUACAACUAAAAGCAGUCAUUGCAGAUAUUAUGACAGCUGCCGUUACAGCUUAUAGCAGUCACUGCCGGUGUUAUGACAGCUGCCAUUACAACUAAUAGCAGUCACUGCAGGUGUUAUCAUGCUACCAAUACAGCUUGUAGCAGUCACUACGGGUGUUACGACAGCUGCCAUUACAGCUUAUAGCAGUAACUGCCGGUGUUAUGACAGCUGCCAUUACAGCUUGUAGCAGUCACUAUGGGUGUUAUGACAGCUGCCAUUACAGCUUAUAGCAGUCACUGCAGGUGUUAUCAUUCUACUAUUGCAGCUUAUAGCAGUCGCUGCAGGUGUUAUGACAGCUGCCUUUACAGCUUAUAGCAGUUACUGCAGGUGUCAUUAUUGUACGGUUACAGCUUAUACCAGUUGAUGCAGGUGUUAACAAUACAUUCUACCAUUACAGCUUAUAGCAGUUAUACAGUUAUUGCAGGUGUUAUGACAGCUACCAUUACAGCUUAUAGCAGUCACUGUAGGUAUCAUGACAGUUGCCAUAACAGCUUGUAACAGUUACUACAGGUCUUAUGACAGCCGCCAUUCCAGCUUAUAGCAGUCCAUGUCACAUUUAAUACAACAUUAUGUAGGUUUUAUGAAUACGGAGACAUGUCAAGUCAUUUUACUCCCCCAUGGUGUGCCACAUUGGAACUGGAACAUGCAACCUUCCAGUUACAUGCUUCAUUUUCCAAUUACUUCCAGCACACAUGGGGUUAUAGUGUUACCAUAAAGCUACACGGAUUUUUUUCUGGUCAGACCAGCUCCAGAUGAAUGAAAAUGUGACAGACCGCAAAGCUUUUUGGAGAGUCUGUAACAUAAAUGCUCUGAGACCCUACUCUUAAUGCAACACGAGUGCUGCACACCAGGUACAAUAUCUGCCUGGUAAUUUGAUGCUGCAUUCUUCAGAACAUAUCUCCUUUGACACCAUAAUGAUUCAAUUCAUGUUCCCUUUCGCUCUGACAGUCAAAGCUUUUCUAACAUACAGACCUUCACAGCCAGACACUGACUCAGACAUGCUCUUAAUAAGGAACUUGCCCAGACCCUGUUUCAAAAAUCAUUACCUCAAAGAUGCAAGGAAACUACUGAUGACCCCCUACAAGGGAUAUGAAAGUAUCUUGUGUUAUUGAAUGUCAUGUUACCUUGCAGAAGGGUGCAAGAGUUCACAGCUCUGUAUUGUAAUUUACCAGGGGUCGUAUUUGUUUUUUCCUUGUCUGGUUUUUAUGUUUGCCGACACUGUGGGUUUUGUCUGAAAUCCAGAAGAAAUAUGAGUUGAUCUGCUGCUAUAUAAUCAUCAGUGAUUUGAUAUUGAUUGUUACUUUGAGUAAUAGGGAAUGCAUUGAUGUCUUUAUUAUGGUCUUCCAUCAAAGAAGAUCACAUUUAGAGACUCAAUGAAAACUAGAGUGAUUGAUGAAAGCCAACUCAGUCUGAACAUAUCAAGCCUUCGCUCUUAAUCAGCGAUCGAGCCUUCAUCUUGUAUGUGCAGAAGGCAUGAUGGUUUGAUAAAAACAUGUGUUGAACCUUGAACUAGCCUUUGAUCACCUUAUGGGAUCUCAAGGUCUUCUCCAUAAUGCUCCCAUGACAUGAAUGGCGGUUAGGAGCA
This is a non-coding RNA of Paramormyrops kingsleyae, 2115 nucleotides long. Lineage: Eukaryota; Metazoa; Chordata; Actinopteri; Osteoglossiformes; Mormyridae. The record is from RefSeq and is a predicted model, not a curated record.